Molecule: ribosomal RNA, 105 nt
Filed under: Winogradskyella sp.
Lineage: Bacteria; Pseudomonadati; Bacteroidota; Flavobacteriia; Flavobacteriales; Flavobacteriaceae
Description: partial 16S ribosomal RNA
Rfam family: Bacterial small subunit ribosomal RNA
Source: RNAcentral
UAACGAUGAAGAGUUUGAUCCUGGCUCAGGAUGAACGCUAGCGGCAGGCCUAACACAUGCAAGUCGAACGGUAACAGGAAAUAGCUUGCUAUUUUGCUGACGAGU